UCUCCAACUGUUGCAGAUCAAGGGAGCUGAAGACUCUUCAUCAACAAGAGAGAUAAUCUUUAGUAUGUGCUAAAAAUGGGGCUCACUCACUUACAAGAAUCAACAAUAAGAAGAUUGAAAAAUGUAUAGGAGACCAAAGUGCUAAAUCCUGUUCUAAAAGAAGAGCAAGAUGCCCAAGAAUUAUGUGUAGGGGGCGGGGCAAUGGAAUUGUCAAUGAGGUUAGCCAUUUGUUUCAAUUCUAACUUUUGAGUAUAUGCAAUUUUCAAUUCAAGAUUGGAGCUCUAAUUCGUUCAGAAUGACUUGCAAAGUACAGCCAGGUAGUUCCCCAACCUUUCCUCAUGGUUAAUAUAUUAAUCUUUUAGGGCAUGCUUGA
Long non-coding RNA from Magnolia sinica, 373 nucleotides. RefSeq lists it as uncharacterized. Lineage: Eukaryota; Viridiplantae; Streptophyta; Magnoliopsida; Magnoliales; Magnoliaceae. The transcript has 3 exons. The record is from RefSeq and is a predicted model, not a curated record.